UACGGGAGGCAGCAGUGGGGGAUAUUGCACAAUGGGCGCAAGCCUGAUGCAGCAACGCCGCGUGCGGGAAGACGGCCUUCGGGUUGUAAACCGCUGUCCUUGGGGAAGAACAAAUGACGGUACCCAAGAAGGAAGCCACGGGCUAACUACGUGCCAGCAGCCGCGGUAAU
This 170-nucleotide ribosomal RNA is filed under the name uncultured rumen bacterium. RNAcentral's name for it is "partial 16S ribosomal RNA". It matches the Rfam family "Bacterial small subunit ribosomal RNA", at positions 340 to 524 of the family's 1533-position model. The record is from RNAcentral.